UACGUAGGGGGCAAGCGUUAUCCGGAUUCACUGGGCGUAAAGGGAGCGCAGGCGGCACGGCAAGUCUGAUGUGAAAACCCGGGGCUCAACCCCGGGACUGCAUUGGAAACUGCCGGGCUGGAGUGUCGGAGGGGUAAGCGGAAUUCCUGGUGUAGCGGUGAAAUGCGUAGAUAUCAGGAGGAACACCGGUGGCGAAGGCGGCUUACUGGACGACAACUGACGCUGAGGCUCGAAAGCGUGGGGAGCAAACA
This 251-nucleotide ribosomal RNA is filed under the name uncultured bacterium. RNAcentral describes it as "partial 16S ribosomal RNA". It matches the Rfam family "Bacterial small subunit ribosomal RNA", at positions 524 to 774 of the family's 1533-position model. The record is from RNAcentral.